RNAcentral lists this ribosomal RNA (270 nucleotides) under Triticum aestivum (bread wheat). RNAcentral describes it as "partial small subunit ribosomal RNA". The record is from RNAcentral. Lineage: Eukaryota; Viridiplantae; Streptophyta; Magnoliopsida; Poales; Poaceae.
AUGCAGCGUCUCAGAGCUGCACUUCAUGUCGAGACCUAUUCGGUGAAAUCUUGGUGGGAUGCGGUUCUUUCUGAUAAUACACUCCCGACGAAGGCCCUAUCUUCUCUGUUACUUCUUGUGGGAUGGCAGAUAUGGAAUGAAAGGAAUGCUCGUGUAUUCAGGAGCAAAGUGGCGCCGGUGGCGAUUGUCAUGCGAGGCAUCAAAGAGGAAGUUUCGAUUUGGGCCAAUGCAGGUGCUAAGCAUUUGCGUAAUGUAAUGCCGCGAGAGUAA